CACGUAGGGCGCAAGCGUUGUCCGGAAUUAUUGGGCCUAAAGCGUCCGUAGCUGGCCUGUUAGAUGCCUGGGUAAAUCGAUGCGCUCAACGUAUCGAACUCCGGGUAGACCGGCAGGCUUGGGACCGGGAGAGGCGUGAGCUACUCGGGGGGUAGGGGUAAAAUCCUGUAAUCCUCCGGGGAGGACCAGUGGCGAAGGCGUCACGCUAGAACGGCUCCGACAGUGAGGGACGAAGCCCUGGGGCGCAAACCGG
This 253-nucleotide ribosomal RNA is filed under the name uncultured bacterium. RNAcentral's name for it is "partial 16S ribosomal RNA". It matches the Rfam family "Archaeal small subunit ribosomal RNA", at positions 474 to 727 of the family's 1478-position model. The record is from RNAcentral.